UAUAGCUGAAAUCUAUAUGGCCCUAGGACGGGACUGCGGCCGAUCAGGUUGUUGGUGGGGUAAUGGCCCACCAAGCCUAUAACGGGUACGGGCCCUGAGAGGGGGAGCCCGGAGAUGGGUACUGAGACAAGGACCCAGGCCCUACGGNNNNNAGCAGGCGCGAAACCUCCGCAAUGCGCGAAAGCGCGACGGGGCCACCCCGAGUGCCAUCCGCUGAGGGUGGCUUUUCCCUAGUGUAGUAAGCUAGGGGAAUAAGCGGGGGGCAAGUCUGGUGUCAGCCGCCGCGGUAAUACCAGCUCCGCGAGUGGUCGGGACGAUUAUUGGGCCUAAAGCGUCCGUAGCCGGCCUAACAAGUCUCUGGUUAAAUCUCAAGGCUUAACCUUGAGAUCGCUGGAGAUACUGUUAGGCUAGGGGGCGGGAG
This 421-nucleotide ribosomal RNA is filed under the name uncultured crenarchaeote. RNAcentral's name for it is "bacterial SSU rRNA". It matches the Rfam family "Archaeal small subunit ribosomal RNA", at positions 181 to 605 of the family's 1478-position model. Lineage: Archaea; Thermoproteati; Thermoproteota. The record is from RNAcentral.